Long non-coding RNA from Bombus huntii, 475 nucleotides. RefSeq lists it as uncharacterized. The record is from RefSeq and is a predicted model, not a curated record. The transcript has 3 exons. NCBI's taxonomy places the organism in Eukaryota, Metazoa, Arthropoda, Insecta, Hymenoptera, Apidae.
AGUCUAAGUCGAUCUAAGAAAAUAGAUAAAGGGAGGGAGGGGCAAAGCUAGUUAAUCUGGAAAGAAUCCAAGCGUCAAUUUCAAGCAUUUACAGAGAAUCAAGCGGGCUGGUUAAAGUCGUGAGUUGAGCAAUUAUCCCGCGUUAGGUUCAAUCAGAUACUUCUGGCUAGUGCAGUACCUACACGGUGGUUGUUGAAAUAGCCGCUUCUCAUCUAUUUUCCGCAGCACGGACAUCAUCCUUUGAUCCCUUACGACUAACGAAGUUUUCGAAGAUGUACGGCAGUUUGAGAUUCUACUUGAAAAUGAUCAUGAUUGCGGUCUGUGUGCCGUCUGCUCUUCUUUUUGUCCUUCCGUUAAAGACUGUUACACACGAGGACGUGUGAUAGUCAGGAUGGCCGUGUCGGAGAUGAAAGAACACCGGAGCCUUUGGAAUUUUGGAUAAUCCCGCAACAUUGUAACCUAGAGUCUACUAUAG